RNAcentral lists this unclassified non-coding RNA (250 nucleotides) under plant metagenome. Its description in RNAcentral is "partial contains small subunit ribosomal RNA, internal transcribed spacer 1, and 5.8S ribosomal RNA". The record is from RNAcentral.
GUAGGUGAACCUGCGGAAGGAUCAUUAACACGUAUCCAACGUUAAAACCCCCGUGCAUAUUAACCCUGCUCUCCUUCACCUCUAGAAGCAAUCUCUGGUAAAUCAUUUCACGAAGAUAGAUUGAUUCAGAGACCUCUUCGGUGGCGUGAUUGGAUAGAUGCGGUAGAGCAAUUAGACCUGGUUUCCGAAAGGAUAACUGAUACUUACUCAGAUCGUUGAUCAUCACGAUUAACGGACAGGUCUCUGGGGC